CCUACGGGAGGCAGCAGUGAGGAAUAUUGGUCAAUGGGCGGAAGCCUGAACCAGCCAAGUCGCGUGAGGGAUGAAGGUCCUAUGGAUUGUAAACUUCUUUUAUAAGGGAGUAAAGUGUGGGACGUGUCCCGUUUUGCAUGUACCUUAUGAAUAAGGAUCGGCUAACUCCGUGCCAGCAGCCGCGGUAAUACGGAGGAUCCGAGCGUUAUCCGGAUUUAUUGGGUUUAAAGGGUGCUUAGACGGGUUGUUAAGUCAGCGGUGAAAGUUUGUGGCUCAACCAUAGAAUUGCAAUUGAUACUGGCAGGCUUGAGUAUGUUUGAGGUAGGCGGAAGUCGUGGUGUAGCGGUGAAAUGCUUAGAUAUCACGAAGAACCCCGAUUGCGAAGGCAGCCUACUAAGCCGUGACUGACGUUGAUGCUCGAAAGCGUGGGGAUCAAACAGGAUUAGAUACCCCUGUAGUC
Molecule: ribosomal RNA, 460 nt
Filed under: uncultured bacterium
Lineage: Bacteria
Description: partial 16S ribosomal RNA
Rfam family: Bacterial small subunit ribosomal RNA
Source: RNAcentral